UGCCAGCAGCCGCGGUAAUACGAACCGUGCGAACGUUGUUCGGAAUCACUGGGCUUAAAGGGUGCGUAGGCGGGCGGUCAAGUCGGAGGUGAAAUCCUACAGCUCAACUGUAGAACUGCCUACGAAACUGGUUGUCUCGAGGGAGGUAGGGGCAUGUGGAACUUCCGGUGGAGCGGUGAAAUGCGUAGAGAUCGGAAGGAACGCCGGUGGCGAAAGCGACGUGCUGGACCUCUUCUGACGCUGAGGCACGAAAGCUAGGGUAGCGAACGGGAUUAGAUA
RNAcentral lists this ribosomal RNA (279 nucleotides) under uncultured bacterium. RNAcentral describes it as "partial 16S ribosomal RNA". It matches the Rfam family "Bacterial small subunit ribosomal RNA", at positions 506 to 784 of the family's 1533-position model. The record is from RNAcentral.